This is an RNA transcript of Spinacia oleracea (spinach), 924 nucleotides long. RefSeq lists it as uncharacterized. The transcript is spliced from 4 exons. NCBI's taxonomy places the organism in Eukaryota, Viridiplantae, Streptophyta, Magnoliopsida, Caryophyllales, Amaranthaceae. The record is from RefSeq and is a predicted model, not a curated record.
AACAUUGAACUGAAAUAUCUGUCAGAGCUGUCUAUUGGGGAAUCAGAACUUUCAUCCCUUUUCUUAGGAAUCAGAACUUCAGUUAAGGUUAUUUAUCUAUCAGGAAACCUUUCUUUCUGAAACUUUCAUUAAUUUAAUCUUUGAACUUGCAGAGUGAUCAUCUAAACCUGGUCAUCGUACACUUGAAGGAUUUGAGCUCAUUGUGUUCUGUACUUUAAGGAAACUGUUAGAGAACUUCAUCCAAGUUUGUCGUAGUCUGAAGAAUCACAUAGCAUAAUUACUGAUACACUUAAGCAGCUGGAGUCUGCUGUAUUCAGAUUGCGAGAGCUUAAGCUUCAGAGAUGCAGAAGACCCAGGAGCAACAAAAUCGCGCUAAAACCAGCAUACUGGAACCUCUUUUCCACACAACUUCAACAAUGUCAGCAGCAGUGGAGCAAACUCCGCAACCCUUCAUUCUUCGCCUUCAACAAUCCCUCGUCUCCUGCUCCAAGGCAGUUGAAGCUGGUGAUUUUCGUCAAUCGGAAUAAGUAAUUUCUGGGAUUGUUGAGUUUCUCAGCUCAUUUUCUGAUGCUGCUAUUUCAGAUUUUGACGAUAAAGAAACCCAGAACAAUUCAAUCGUUGUUCUCUCUCAUAUUCACUCUUUCCUUUGAAACCCUUCUCUUGAUCAGGUCUACACUCCGAGGAUUGCGCCUUAUGCGAGGAAUUUGAUGUGGUUCGUGAGCAAUGGGCUAAGUUUUUUACCAGCAAGUAUUUAUUAUUGGCUUUAGCGCGCUGGAUCGAGUUGGUUUAGUUGUUAUAGAAUAAAUUUUAUAUUAAAAUGUAUGUUUAUGUUGAAAUUGGAACAUAUAUUUAAAUGUAAUAUGUGCACUUUGGUUUUGGGAUAUAUAGUAUACAAAACUCCAGUUGUUGUUUUUAUAUUUGUUA